This 462-nucleotide ribosomal RNA is filed under the name uncultured bacterium. Its description in RNAcentral is "partial 16S ribosomal RNA". It matches the Rfam family "Bacterial small subunit ribosomal RNA", at positions 28 to 507 of the family's 1533-position model. The record is from RNAcentral.
GACGAACGCUGGCGGCGUGCUUAACACAUGCAAGUCGAACGGAAAGGCCCUUCGGGGUACUCGAGUGGCGAACGGGUGAGUAACACGUGGGUGAUCUGCCCUGCACUUUGGGAUAAGCCUGGGAAACUGGGUCUAAUACCGAAUAGGACCACGCGCUUCAUGGCGUGUGGUGGAAAGCUUUUGCGGUGUGGGAUGGGCCCGCGGCCUAUCAGCUUGUUGGUGGGGUAAUGGCCCACCAAGGCGACGACUGGUAGCCGGCCUGAGAGGGUGACCGGCCACACUGGGACUGAGAUACGGCCCAGACUCCUACGGGAGGCAGCAGUGGGGAAUAUUGCACAAUGGGCGCAAGCCUGAUGCAGCGACGCCGCGUGAGGGAUGACGGCCUUCGGGUUGUAAACCUCUUUCAAUAGGGACGAAGCGCAAGUGACGGUACCUAUAGAAGAAGCACCGGCCAACUACGUG